GUACGGGAGGCAGCAGUAAGGAAUAUUGGUCAAUGGACGCAAGUCUGAACCAGCCAUGCCGCGUGCAGGAUGACAGCCCUAUGGGUUGUAAACUGCUUUUGUACGGGAAAAAACCUCCGGUCGUGAACCGGAGCUGAUGGUACCGUAAGAAUAAGCAUCGGCUAACUCCGUGCCAGCAGCCGCGGUAAUACGGAGGAUGCAAGCGUUAUCCGGAUUCAUUGGGUUUAAAGGGUGCGCAGGCGGAAUGAUAAGUCAGUGGUGAAAUCCUACAGCUUAACUGUAGAACUGCCAUUGAUACUGUCGUUCUUGAGUACAGUUGGAGUGGGCGGAAUGUGUCAUGUAGCGGUGAAAUGCUUAGAUAUGACACAGAACACCAGUCGCGAAGGCAGCUCGCUAAACUGUAACUGACGCUCAUGCACGAAAGCGUGGGGAUCAAACAGGAUUAGAUACCCCGGU
Molecule: ribosomal RNA, 456 nt
Filed under: uncultured bacterium
Lineage: Bacteria
Description: bacterial SSU rRNA
Rfam family: Bacterial small subunit ribosomal RNA
Source: RNAcentral